RNAcentral lists this ribosomal RNA (513 nucleotides) under uncultured bacterium. RNAcentral's name for it is "partial 16S ribosomal RNA". It matches the Rfam family "Bacterial small subunit ribosomal RNA", at positions 28 to 523 of the family's 1533-position model. The record is from RNAcentral.
GACGAACGCGGGCGGCAUGCCUAAUACAUGCAAGUCGAGCGAACAGAUGAAGUGCUUGCACUUCUGACGUUAGCGGCGAACGGGUGAGUAACACGUAAGGAAUCUACCUAUAAGCGGGGGAUAACAUUCGGAAACGGGUGCUAAUACCGCAUAAUAUCUUCUUCCGCAUGGAAGAAGAUUGAAAGACGGCUCUGCUGUCACUUAUAGAUGACCUUGCGGUGCAUUAGUUAGUUGGUGGGGUAAUGGCCUACCAAGACGAUGAUGCAUAGCCGACCUGAGAGGCUGAUCGGCCACAUUGGGACUGAGACACGGCCCAAACUCCUACGGGAGGCAGCAGUAGGGAAUCUUCCGCAAUGGGCGAAAGCCUGACGGAGCAAUGCCGCGUGAGUGAAGAAGGCCUUCGGGUCGUAAAACUCUGUUAUAAGAGAGGAACAAAUUGUAGAGUAACUGCUACAGUCUUGACGGUAUCUUAUCAGAAAGCCACGGCUAACUACGUGCCAGCCGCCGCAGUAA